GACGAACGCUGGCGGCGUGCCUAAUACAUGCAAGUCGAACGCUGAAGGAGGAGCUUGCUUCUCUGGAUGAGUUGCGAACGGGUGAGUAACGCGUAGGUAACCUGCCUGGUAGCGGGGGAUAACUAUUGGAAACGAUAGCUAAUACCGCAUAAGAGUAGAUGUUGCAUGACAUUUGCUUAAAAGGUGCAAUUGCAUCACUACCAGAUGGACCUGCGUUGUAUUAGCUAGUUGGUGGGGUAACGGCUCACCAAGGCGACGAUACAUAGCCGACCUGAGAGGGGGAUCGGCCACACUGGGACUGGGACACGGCCCAGACCCCUACGGGAGGCAGCAGGAGGGAAUCUUCGGCAAUGGACGGAAGGCGGACCGAGCAACGCCGCGUGAGGGAAGAAGGGUUUCGGAUCGUAAAGAUCUGUUGUAAGAGAAGAACGAGUGUGAGAGUGGAAAGUUCACACUGUGACGGUAUCUUACCAGAAAGGGACGGCUAACUACGUG
This 495-nucleotide ribosomal RNA is filed under the name uncultured bacterium. RNAcentral's name for it is "partial 16S ribosomal RNA". It matches the Rfam family "Bacterial small subunit ribosomal RNA", at positions 28 to 507 of the family's 1533-position model. The record is from RNAcentral.